AUGUAAGUAUAUGAAUGGCCGCGGUACUUUGACCGUGCUAAGGUAGCGCAAUCAAUUGGCUUUUAAUUGAAGCCAUGUAUGAAUGGAAUCACGGGGCUUAGCUGUCUCUUAACUAUUUUAUUGAAAUUACUAUGUAGGUGAAAAAGCCUGNAUGAAGAAAAAAGACGAGAAGACCCUUAGAGUUUUUCUAAGAUUAGAAUAAUUUCUAAAACAGUUUAGUUGGGGCAACGUAGGAGCAGCUUACAAAUAACCUCCUGUAAAACACGUACCGAUAUUUAUAAAUAUGAAUAAACUACCUUAGGGAUAACAGCAUAAUUUUAUAAAUAAGUUUGUGACCUCGAUGUUGGACUAGGAAACUAAGAGGCUAGCCGCCUCUUAGGUAAGUUCUGUUCGAACUAUUAUUCCU
This 406-nucleotide ribosomal RNA is filed under the name Hoplodoris desmoparypha. RNAcentral's name for it is "partial large subunit ribosomal RNA". It matches the Rfam family "Archaeal large subunit ribosomal RNA", at positions 1988 to 2665 of the family's 2987-position model. The record is from RNAcentral. Lineage: Eukaryota; Metazoa; Mollusca; Gastropoda; Nudibranchia; Dorididae.